GUUUUUUUUUAUAAAUUAUAAUCUCUUAAAUUAAAGGAGCUGCUACUUCUCUGAUUAUUUAUUGUGUAUACGAUUAAAAAAGUUACACAGUAAAUUGUAGGUAAAGCAGAAUAUUGAAAGAUGUAUUCCUAUAAGUUACAUAAGCUCUAAGAGAAAUUUAAUCUCUAAACGAAGUGAAUUGAAAUAUCUUAGUAACUUCAGGAAAAUAAAUCAAAAGAGAUUCUACGAAUAACGUGAGUGAAAGUAGAGUAGCCUAUAAAGUAAAAUGGUACAAAAACUGUUUAAAUAUAAUGGGGAACCUUCCUCAAAGGCUAAAUAUGAUACAUGAGCGAUAGUGAAAAGUACCAUGAGGGAACCAAGAUAAAAAUAGUAGUUUUAUAAGCAGUUUAAAAUAAAAAACGUACCUUUUGCAUAAUGGGUCACCAAGUUAACAUUAGAUGCGAGUAUAUGCGUAGUUAAACCGAACGUUAAAAUAACGAAUUAGUGUCUAAAGUUAGACCCGAAAUACAGUGAUUUUACUAUAGUCAGGAUUAUAAAAGUCUGAACGGAUGAUUGUAGCAUAAAUCUCCGAAGAACUGUGGUAGGUGUAGUGAAAGACAACACUGACUGUGAUAGCUGGUUUUCUGCGAAACCUAUAAUAGUAGGCAAUUUAAGUUAAUAUCUUAGCAGGUACAUAAUUUAAUCUCAGACAAGAUGUGUAGUUUCAAGGCUAUGAAAUAAAGCUUUAGCUAUUUUUUUUUUUUAUAAAAAAAAAUAGCGCACUCCAUUUUAUUUUGUACAAAUUGGGAAAUUGUGAAGAUUUUAUCAGUGAGUAUGUAUACUCGGAAUGGCAAAGAUAUAUCUUAAAUUAUCAGACAUAGAAUGAUAAGGUUGUAUGUCAAAAGGGAAACAGCCCAGAACAAGAGUUAAGGUUCCUAAAUUAUUAGUUAAGUGAAAUUAAGAAAGUUUUUAUUAAAGUCGACAAGGAGAUAGGCUUAGAAGCAGCCAUAAUUUGAUGAUCUCGUAAUAGAGCGCUUGUUAAUCUAUAAAAGCAUCGAAAAUUUAACGGAUCUAAACAAUAUACCGAAACCUUGUACAUGAACGUACCAUAAAACAUUUUUUUUAUGAUGAAGCUCACUUGACAUAAUUAUAAUCAGAGUAGAGUUGUGUUGAAUCAUAAAUAAAUAUUAUAUUGGUAUUAGUUCUAUUAAAUCUUUUAAAAACAGAUAAAUAGAGCGUUUGGGGUAGCAGAACGUUGAGUAAAAAAUGAAUUUUAUUUUUUUAAUAAAUUUGGAUCUAUAGCUUUAGCUUGCGUAGCGCUUAUGCGCUUGCGUAUCCAUUAGGGAAUAUGACAUGUAAUUUUAACUCAAGUGAGAAUGGUGACAUGAGUAACUAAAAGAAAAUUUUCCGCCUUAAGCUUAUGGAUAAUAUUAAGUAACGGCCUCUAAGUUUAUAUUAUCUAAAGAUUUAAACGAUGAGAAAAUCUUUUUUACUAAGGACAACAUUUUAGUAUAAAAUGUGCUGGAAAAAUAGUAAAUAUAUUUGUGAGCUUUAUAGUGAGCUUGCUUGCUUGCUUGCUAAUUUUUUUAUGUAUAUUACAAUGUAUAAAAAAAAAAUAAAGCCCAAGUUUUAACUAACAUUAUAUGUUAGAUAAGAACAAAUGAAUAAAACCGUACCUAGAAUCUGAAACAAGUAAGCUAGUAGAGAAUACGAAGGCGUAAAUGAGCUAACAAUCAUAAAGGAACUCGGCAAAUUGACUACCGUAACUUCGGAAUAAGGAGGGCUCAAUUCUUGAUUAAUAUCAAGUAAAAAGGAAGAAGCAUAAAAUGGUGUUGUACGACUGUUUAAUUAAAACACAGCACUUUGCUGAAAGAUAAAAAAAUCGAAGUAUAAAGUGUGAAAUCUGCCCGGUGCCGGCUUUGGUUAACAGAGAUAUUUAAAUAUAUUAUUAUUUAUUAACGACGGAAACCCCGGUUAAAGGCGGCCUUAACGUGAGGGUCCUAAGGUAGCUAAAUGCCUUGGCCGUUAAAUGCGGUCUUGCAUGAAUGGUGUAACGAUACAACAGCUGUCUCUAUGAUUGACUCAGUGAAAUUGGAAUAGCUGUGCAGAUACAGCUUACCUCUAGUUAGACGAGAAGACCCUAUGCAGCUUUACUGUCACUAAUUAUAGAUUAUGAUUGAUAAUUUUCAGUUUAUAAGGUAAUUGAUAAUGUAAUAAUGAGAAUCCUUUAAUUAUCUUUCAUAUGAAUGAAUUGGUUUAGGAUUAUAUAAAAAGUUUAUUUAGAUUUGGCUUUACUGAGUUUAGUUAUACGGAAAUAUUUCGUAUAAAAAUCUAAAAAUUCUAAAAUUUUAUAAUAGUAAAUCGACCUAUUUCAAUUUACUAUUUAAGACAUAAGCUCUUAAAUGUAAGUGACCUUUGGUGAGGAACUGUAAUUAGAAGACAGUUUAUGUGGGGCACAGACCCUGUAAAGAGUAAACAGGAGUGUCUAAUAAUUUAUAAUUAUUUUGUUUGCUAUUUUGAGUAGUAAUACUUCUAAUCCUUAAUCCCAUGUGGGAUAUGGGGAUAGUAAGCUAUAACUAUUUUUAAUCAUAUAUAAUUAAUUAUAUUUAUUGGAGGCGCAAGCUAAACUGCUUGUGAGUAUAUAAAUAGCCUUUAGUAAAUAUAUUUAAGUUUAAUUAGGUAGGAUUUUAACUAUAUAGAAAUUAGAGAUAACUAAAAAUAUUAUGUAAAUUUAAUAUGCAUAGUUUGCUAUAAGGUAAGUUAUAUAUUAAAGUUUACUAAUAUUUAAGGUCUAUUCUUUUUUCUUGCAUACUACGUACUACGUACUACGUAAGCAUAAAAAAAUUAGAAUAGUUAUGUUUUAAAUAUCUAAAAAGCUCAACGGCUAAAUCUUGCCUUACUGUUUGAUUAUCUACAAAUCUUACAGUUGCGUAAGCAGGGCAUAGGAUCACAAGAUGCAAUAAGGAUAGAUCUUGGAUUAUUGGAAAAGCUACGCUAGGGAUAACAGGCUAAUUUGCGUAAGAAUGUACAAAAUGAGUGCGCGGUUUGGCACCUCGAUGUCGGCUUAACUUAUCCUCAUGGACGCAGUAAUUAUGUAGGGUGCGACUGUUCGUCGAUUAAAAAGUUACAUGAGCUGGGUUAAAUACGUCGUGAGACAGUAUGGUUUCUAUCUUCUAGAGGGAAUUAGAAUAAAAUAAGAACAAACUUUUGUACGCAAGGAACAAGAAGAGUUUAACUCAAAAAGUUAAAUUAUGGUUACUAACCUAUGGUUUACCUGUUGUUUAUGUGCCUAAAUAUUAAAUAUAUAUAUACUAGCCGUAUUGGGUUACAUGUUAGCUACGUAUAUAUAUAUAUCUUUUGAUGCACUAUAAAGUGCUCUUAUAGAUAAGGAUGUUUCUUUUACUAAGAUAAAUGUAUAGCAUAAGCACGGCAGGAACGCUAAGUUAGUUAAAGAUAAGUGCUGAAAGCAUAUAGGCACGAAACUUAUCUUAAGAUAUUUCUU
This 3481-nucleotide ribosomal RNA is filed under the name Hirsutella vermicola. Its description in RNAcentral is "large subunit ribosomal RNA". It matches the Rfam family "Bacterial large subunit ribosomal RNA". Lineage: Eukaryota; Fungi; Ascomycota; Sordariomycetes; Hypocreales; Ophiocordycipitaceae. The record is from RNAcentral.